GCCCAGAUGGUGAAAUUGGUAGACACGCAGUGUUCAGAACGCUGUAGGAGCAAUCCUGUGGGGGUUCAAAUCCCCCUCUGGGCA
This 84-nucleotide transfer RNA is filed under the name Candidatus Falkowiibacteriota bacterium. Its description in RNAcentral is "Candidatus Falkowbacteria bacterium tRNA-Leu". It matches the Rfam family "tRNA". Rfam says of the family: Transfer RNA (tRNA) molecules are approximately 80 nucleotides in length. Their secondary structure includes four short double-helical elements and three loops (D, anti-codon, and T loops). Lineage: Bacteria; Candidatus Falkowiibacteriota. The record is from RNAcentral.